UGUGUUAAAGAAAUACUAGCUUGAUAAAUGUUUGAGUUAAACAGCCAUUCUUAAGCGAUUCAUAAAAAAUGUCAAGUAAUAAUGGCGAAAUUUGGUCACUGAAGGCUUUGUAAAUCUCUGAGCAAGCGCUUUAGAACACUGCAUACGGCGUAUUGCCUGAAUUAUUUCUUCAAUAGUUAGAGAUUGUUCUAAAGAAUAUUUAUUCUCCGAGGAAAUUAAUGGGAUAUUGAGUUCUUUAAAAAAAUUCUCUAUAAGUAAAUAAUUGUUAGCAGAUUCUGAGGAGUAUAGCUUCAUAUAAAAAUCCCUAAAGGUGUCAUUUAUGUUUUGAAGGUCUAGGGUAGUUUGUCCAGAAUCAGUUCUAAUCUCUGUAAUCAACCUCGAUGCAGCUUCUUUCAGCUUUCAUUGGUCUGACAGACAAGAAUUUUGCCAGAUUUUUCUCCAUGUUUGUAAAAAGAGGUUUAAACCUGCAUCAAAAGUUUAGUUGUCACUGUGAUAGAGAGUAACUGAAAUUCUGACUGGAGGGAGAGUUUUUCCUUAUAAAAAUCUGGUGAAGGGGAGAUUUCAUACUCAUGGUCUAUUGGUGAUAUUUUGUCAACUAAUUUCUUUUUUUCUCUCUCUCUCUCUCUCUCUCUUCUUUGCUUCCCAAUUGAGACACUCUUAUAUUAUCUAAGAGAUAAUAUAACCAUGGAUGUAUGCUUUAAAUGCUUCCAAAGUGUGGACUUUGAGAUAUCUGUGGUGUUAUUUGUGUGCAAAUAUAAUUGUAUAUGUUCGUUACCUUGUUCUAUAAAUGUUUUAUCCGUCAAUAGAUUAUUAUAAGAACAACAAGUCUUGUUUUAAUGGCAAACAGACGAGAGAAACAUUGAACCAGAGGAAACACAGGCCCUAAAAUAAGGAACAAAGUCAUACACAUCUGGGAUGGCAUGAGGGUGAGUAAAUGAUGAGAGACUUUUCAUUUUGGGUGAACUAUCCCUUUAAGAUAAAUUAAUAAUAGAGUUUAAGUAAACACUGCAUUAGCCUAUGUUCACCAAAACAUUUGAAUGCAUUUCAAAGAUAAUGAUAAAACAUUAAAAAUAAAUAAUUAUAAAAAAACCUUUAGCUAUGAACCAAGACCAUAUGAUCACCGAAAAUGUUUUGGCAUUGACUAAAUAUCAUGUCCCUUUGUUAGUAGGCAUAUAAUACAAAGAGUAUCUAGUAAUUUAUUACCUCUAUGUAUACUUGAAUUGAUAGCAGCACUAAAAAAAAUUAUAAUUAAAUUACGUGUGCUGGAGCCUAUCCCAGCUACUUCGAGUUGAAGGCAGGGAAACACCCUAAACAGAUAGCCAGUCCAACAUAGGACCUCAUGAGGAAUUGUCAAACCAAACAACAGUAAAGCAUGGAGUGCCACCGGGAUUAGUUUUAGGGCCUCUGCUUUUCUCCUUGUAUAUGCUUCCCCUGGGAGAUAUUAUCAGGAAUCGUGGAAUAAGUUUCCACUGUUAUGCCGAUGAUACCCAACUUUAUAUUUCUUCAAAACCUGAUGAAAUUUCACAAUUCUCCAAAUUAGCAGAGUGUAUCAAUGAAAUAAAAGAUCUUUCCUUCUACUCAAUUCCGACAAAACAGAGGUACUAAUUAUUGGACCAAAAACCUCUAAAAACAAGCCGCUAAAAUAUAAUUUGACUCUUGAUGAAUGUACUGUUACAUCGUCUUCAACAGCAAAGAACUUAGAUGUUAUAUUUGAUAUCAAUCUGUCCUUUGAAAAUCAAAUUACCAAUGUUUGUAGAACAGCAUUCUUCCACCUCAAAAUUACGCUAAAUUACGGCACAUGCUCUCUGUUGCUGAUGCCGAAAAACUAAUUAAUGCGUUCAUGACCUCAAGACUAGAUUAUUGUAAUGCAUUACAGUGAGAAUGUCCUGCAAUAUCAAUAAAUAAACUUCAAUUGCAUCAAAAUGAAGCAGCCAGAGUGCUGACUAGAACCAAGAAAUAUGAUCAUAUUAGCCCCAUCUUAUCGUCGUUACAUUGGCUACCUGUUAAAUUUCAUAUUAAUUUUAAAAUUCUGUUAACUACGAACAAAGCUUUGAAUGGUCUAGCUUCAAAGAACUUAAAUUACUUCUACCAUGCUAUAUUCCAUUAUGUUCAUAACGGUUGCAAAAUUCUGGCCUGUUAAAAGGAGGUAGAUCAUUUUCAUAUUUGGCUUCUAACUAUGGAAUAGUCUCCCUAACACUGUUCGAGAUGCAGACACACUCACUCAGUUUAAGUCUAGACUAAAGACUCAUCUAUUUAGCCAGGCAUACACCUAAUUUAUCCUUCAACUCACAAUUAGGUCUGCUGGAACCAGAAACCAGAAACAUUGAUCAUGAUCUAUAACUCUGCAAUAAAUUGAAUGGUGUCUGUGCUAAUAUUAUUCUAUUUGUUUCCCUGUCUCAACCUCGGGACGCCUAUCCUGAGGUCACCAGAACCGUCUGGAUCCAUUCCUGCUUUGUGUUGGACUCCACUGCUAUGUGUCGCUGUGUGAUGAUGACUAAUAGCAGCCGGUGCCAGCCAAACAUCACUUCAGUCUAUUACGAUGGACUCCAGAGGAUGAACUGAUGCCAACUCCAAUAAGACAUGGGAUACACCAUAUGCUACUGCCUGAACCUUGGAUUUAGGAUAGACUUAACCGAAAUUACCGGCCGGUUGAACUGCGAUGCACCUAACAGAUCUCUGCCUGCAUCACCUCGGUCUAAUGAUGGACGACACUCUUGAAAUGGAAUACAUAGACUAUCAAUUAAUUGCCAACAAAACCCUUCAUCAGCCAACUGACAAGGACAAUGCAUCUAUGUGAACUUCUGCAGUUAAUCCAGGAUGGACUUCAAAGACAUUAGUCAUUAAUCUUACAGUUCAUACAAAAUCUUGACCCUUAACACUUUAGUUUAAUAAUUUUAAACCAUGACUUGCACUAUACAUAAGUAAUAUUGGCAUUAUAUUCAUGAUGUUAGCCAGAGGGGAACUGGCCCCCUCAGUGAGUCUGGUUUCUCCCAAGGUUAUUUUUCUCCAUUAACCAACAUCUUAUGGAGUUUUGUGUUCCUUGCCUCUGUCACCUUCGGCUUGCUCACUGGGGUUCUAAAUACAAUUAUUAUUGAAUUACUUAUUUUUAAACACAAUUCAAAUUCGUAUUUUAUCAAACUACACAAUGAUGACUAGAUAUUACAGUUUCAUUUUCUGUUAAUGCAUGAUUCUCUGUAAAGCUGCUUUGAAACUAUGUGCGUUGUGAAAGGCGCUAUACAAAUAAAAAUGAUUUGAUUUGACCUCUUAUUCUGUAUAUUGGCACUUUUAAUUAAUGUAUGAACUUUGGUGAUUCAGUGUUCACCUUUAAGGUGUCAAAAGCAGUAAAAGCCUUU
Myxocyprinus asiaticus (Chinese sucker) is the source of this 3353-nucleotide long non-coding RNA. RefSeq lists it as uncharacterized. The transcript is spliced from 3 exons. The record is from RefSeq and is a predicted model, not a curated record. Lineage: Eukaryota; Metazoa; Chordata; Actinopteri; Cypriniformes; Catostomidae.